UACGAAGGGGGCUAGCGUUGCUCGGAAUCACUGGGCGUAAAGCGCACGUAGGCGGAUUGUUAAGUCAGGGGUGAAAUCCUGGAGCUCAACUCCAGAACUGCCUUUGAUACUGGCGAUCUUGAGUCCGGGAGAGGUGAGUGGAACUGCGAGUGUAGAGGUGAAAUUCGUAGAUAUUCGCAAGAACACCAGCGGCGAAGGCGGCGCUCUGGGCCGGAACUGACGCUGAGGAGCGAAAGCGUGGGUAGCAAACAGG
Molecule: ribosomal RNA, 253 nt
Filed under: uncultured bacterium
Lineage: Bacteria
Description: partial 16S ribosomal RNA
Rfam family: Bacterial small subunit ribosomal RNA
Source: RNAcentral